GAGACAAGUUCCUAUCUGGAUGAUUAAUCUUCACCACCAGUGCCCUGCUAUCCAGUUCCAAAUGUGCUCGUUGGAUGUUAGGAGCAACAACCACCUAUAGUGCCCUUCUGCACGCCAACGCUUCUACCACUUCAGGAUCAACAAUGCCUGGGAAGAAAUGGCUAACUAUGGACAAGAACAUCGCAUUAUGAUCCCGAAAUACUGCCCCACCACCACCGUUUGUUCCUUGCUUCAAGACCGCGCCAUCGGAGUUUAUUUUUACCCAUCCAUUUAGAGG
Molecule: long non-coding RNA, 277 nt
Filed under: Hordeum vulgare
Lineage: Eukaryota; Viridiplantae; Streptophyta; Magnoliopsida; Poales; Poaceae
Description: long non-coding RNA (HVUL_LNC003663)
Source: RNAcentral